GCACCUGUGGCCUAAUGGUUAGAGCGUCCGUCUCGGAUACGAGAGAUCGCGGGUUCGAAUCUUGGCCGCGUCAUGCU
This is a non-coding RNA of Potamilus streckersoni, 77 nucleotides long. NCBI's taxonomy places the organism in Eukaryota, Metazoa, Mollusca, Bivalvia, Unionida, Unionidae. The record is from the annotation of a GenBank genome assembly.